RNAcentral lists this transfer RNA (73 nucleotides) under Camelus bactrianus (Bactrian camel). It matches the Rfam family "tRNA". Rfam says of the family: Transfer RNA (tRNA) molecules are approximately 80 nucleotides in length. Their secondary structure includes four short double-helical elements and three loops (D, anti-codon, and T loops). The record is from Rfam by way of RNAcentral. Lineage: Eukaryota; Metazoa; Chordata; Mammalia; Artiodactyla; Camelidae. RNAcentral also lists the same sequence under 2 other names.
GGGGGUACAGCUCAAUUGGUAGAGCACGUGCUUAGCAUGCAUGAGGUCCUGGGUUCAAUCCCCAGUAUCAACU